RNAcentral lists this RNase P RNA (383 nucleotides) under Klebsiella pneumoniae. Its description in RNAcentral is "RNase P RNA component class A". It matches the Rfam family "Bacterial RNase P class A". From Rfam's summary of the family: Ribonuclease P (RNase P) is a ubiquitous endoribonuclease, found in archaea, bacteria and eukarya as well as chloroplasts and mitochondria. Its best characterised activity is the generation of mature 5'-ends of tRNAs by cleaving the 5'-leader elements of precursor-tRNAs. The record is from RNAcentral. Lineage: Bacteria; Pseudomonadati; Pseudomonadota; Gammaproteobacteria; Enterobacterales; Enterobacteriaceae.
GAAGCUGACCAGACAGUCGCCGCUUCGUCGUCGUCCUCCUUCGGGGGGAGACGGGCGGAGGGGAGGAAAGUCCGGGCUCCAUAGGGCAAGGUGCCAGGUAACGCCUGGGGGGUGUCACAGCCCACGACCAGUGCAACAGAGAGCAAACCGCCGAUGGCCCGCGCAAGCGGGAUCAGGUAAGGGUGAAAGGGUGCGGUAAGAGCGCACCGCGCGGCUGGUAACAGUCCGCGGCACGGUAAACUCCACCCGGAGCAAGGCCAAAUAGGGGGUCAUAAGGUACGGCCCGUACUGAACCCGGGUAGGCUGCUUGAGCCAGUGAGCGAUUGCUGGCCUAGAUGAAUGACUGUCCACGACAGAACCCGGCUUAUCGGUCAGUUUCACCU